GAUGAACGCUGGCGGCGUGCCUAAUACAUGCAAGUCGAGCGAACAGAUGAGGAGCUUGCGCCGCUGACGUUAGCGGCGGACGGGAGUGUAACACGUGUAUAACGUACUUAUCAUACUGGGAUAAUUACGAAAAACCGGAUCUAAUACCAUAUAAUAUAUUGAACCACAUUGUUCAAUAGUGAAAGACGGCUGUGCUGUCACGUAUAGAUGGAUCUCCGCCGGAUUAGCUAGUUGGGAAGGUAACGGCUUACCAAGGCAACGAUGCGUAGCCGACCUGAGAGGGUGAUCGGCCACACUGGAACGGAGACACGGUCCAGAGUCCUACGGGAGGCAGCAGUAGGGAAUCUUCCGGAAUGGGCGAAAGCUUGACGGAGCAACGCCGCGGGAGUGAUGAAGAUCUUCGGAUCGUAAAACUCUGUUAUUAGGGAAGAACAAAUGUUUAAGUGACUAUGCACGUCUUGACGGUAACUAAUCAGAGAGCCACGGCUAACUUCGUG
This 497-nucleotide ribosomal RNA is filed under the name uncultured bacterium. Its description in RNAcentral is "partial 16S ribosomal RNA". It matches the Rfam family "Bacterial small subunit ribosomal RNA", at positions 28 to 507 of the family's 1533-position model. The record is from RNAcentral.